AAAUUGAAGAGUUUGAUCAUGGCUCAGAUUGAACGCUGGCGGCAGGCCUAACACAUGCAAGUCGAACGGUAACAGAAAGCAGCUUGCUGCUUUGCUGACGAGUGGCGGAC
Molecule: ribosomal RNA, 110 nt
Filed under: Escherichia coli
Lineage: Bacteria; Pseudomonadati; Pseudomonadota; Gammaproteobacteria; Enterobacterales; Enterobacteriaceae
Also listed under: 2 other names
Description: partial 16S ribosomal RNA
Rfam family: Bacterial small subunit ribosomal RNA
Source: RNAcentral